RNAcentral lists this ribosomal RNA (1440 nucleotides) under uncultured organism. RNAcentral's name for it is "SSU rRNA". It matches the Rfam family "Bacterial small subunit ribosomal RNA". The record is from RNAcentral.
AACGCUAGCUACAGGCUUAACACAUGCAAGUCGAGGGUCAGCAUGGUCUUAGCUUGCUAAGGCCGAUGGCGACCGGCGCACGGGUGAGUAACACGUAUCCAACCUGCCGUCUACUCUUGGACAGCCUUCUGAAAGGAAGAUUAAUACAAGAUGGCAUCAUGAGUCCACAUGUUCACAUGAUUAAAGGUAUUCCGGUAGACGAUGGGGAUGCGUUCCAUUAGAUAGUAGGCGGGGUAACGGCCCACCUAGUCUUCGAUGGAUAGGGGUUCUGAGAGGAAGGUCCCCCACAUUGGAACUGAGACACGGUCCAAACUCCUACGGGAGGCAGCAGUGAGGAAUAUUGGUCAAUGGGCGAGAGCCUGAACCAGCCAAGUAGCGUGAAGGAUGACUGCCCUAUGGGUUGUAAACUUCUUUUAUAAAGGAAUAAAGUCGGGUAUGCAUACCCGUUUGCAUGUACUUUAUGAAUAAGGAUCGGCUAACUCCGUGCCAGCAGCCGCGGUAAUACGGAGGAUCCGAGCGUUAUCCGGAUUUAUUGGGUUUAAAGGGAGCGUAGAUGGAUGUUUAAGUCAGUUGUGAAGGUUUGCGGCUCAACCGUAAAAUUGCAGUUGAUACUGGAUAUCUUGAGUGCAGUUGAGGCAGGCGGAAUUCGUGGUGUAGCGGUGAAAUGCUUAGAUAUCACGAAGAACUCCGAUUGCGAAGGCAGCCUGCUAAGCUGCAACUGACAUUGAGGCUCGAAAGUGUGGGUAUCAAACAGGAUUAGAUACCCUGGUAGUCCACACGGUAAACGAUGAAUACUCGCUGUUUGCGAUAUACGGCAAGCGGCCAAGCGAAAGCGUUAAGUAUUCCACCUGGGGAGUACGCCGGCAACGGUGAAACUCAAAGGAAUUGACGGGGGCCCGCACAAGCGGAGGAACAUGUGGUUUAAUUCGAUGAUACGCGAGGAACCUUACCCGGGCUUAAAUUGCAGAUGAAUUACGGUGAAAGCCGUAAGCCGCAAGGCAUCUGUGAAGGUGCUGCAUGGUUGUCGUCAGCUCGUGCCGUGAGGUGUCGGCUUAAGUGCCAUAACGAGCGCAACCCUUGUUGUCAGUUACUAACAGGUUCCGCUGAGGACUCUGACAAGACUGCCAUCGUAAGAUGUGAGGAAGGUGGGGAUGACGUCAAAUCAGCACGGCCCUUACGUCCGGGGCUACACACGUGUUACAAUGGGGGGUACAGAGGGCCGCUACCACGCGAGUGGAUGCCAAUCCCCAAAACCUCUCUCAGUUCGGACUGGAGUCUGCAACCCGACUCCACGAAGCUGAAUUCGCUAGUAAUCGCGCAUCAGCCACGGCGCGGUGAAUACGUUCCCGGGCCUUGUACACACCGCCCGUCAAGCCAUGGGAGCCGGGGGUACCUGAAGUGCGUAACCGCGAGGAGCGCCCUAGGGUAAAACUGGUGACU